UGUACACUGAAGAAAGAGUCAGAGUGUCAAAAUUUUAAACUUGAUUGUAUUCUACCUUACUCUCACUCGACUUCAAAGAAACUUGCACAAUUUAUGCAAAUUGAAAAUCAUAUUGCUGCAAGAUUCCUUGCUUUUUUGCUCAUGGGCCAGAUGACAUGUUUUUGUCUUUGAUCUGUUUCAGGACUGAUGUAUAAUGAAUGCAUUCUUUUUCUCUUGGUUGGUUUAUCAGAUGACAGUGUAUUUAGGAGUAAUGUGCCCUGCAGUGAUGUCAGAAAUUUGUAAGAGAGAGACCGUGGCUGAUACCUCUCUCUGUUCGGUGUUAACACUGUGGCUUGAAUUCAUGAAUGGAUGGAUUUGUUGCUCGAAUGCUGUCAGUCAUGGUGUGUGCUCAUUUCUAGAGAGACAAAGUUUAAUAAGGUACUGUUCUUAAUGAGAUGGAAGAGUGAGAUAAAGAAGAGGGAAUCAUUACUAAACAGAAUGGAGCUUUCAGGCAGGUGCACGGGGCCUGUGGUAGCCCUGGAGACAUUGCACCCAACUCUGGGGCACCUCCUUUUUGAGAGGGUCCUAUUGGAGCUGAUUAAGGAAGGAGCACAGGUGAGCAGGAGCAUUGUGAGUCACAGAGCGCAGCCUGAUGUGUGCAGGGGGAUAUAGACACUGGGGACACGAUGCUAGGUGGCUGGUGGCAAGAGACCUAUGAAGUGGAGUGGAUGGGACCCUUUUAUCAUGGACGGCCUUGUGUGGCUGGCAUACAAAGAAGAUUUGGUCCCAGCCCUGGAGUGAUGUGGGCAGUGUGCUGAGUAAGUAGAUGAUUCUGUAGCCUUGUUACAUGCAUAGAUGUUUAAAACAUCCGUCAUGAGGGACACUGGGACUUUGUCUCACUUUGUUGUGUUGAGAUUUUAUAAUGAAGGGUGUUAAUUAAUCAUAGUCUGUAGCAGAUGGGAAUGAGAUGCAAGUAAUAGUUCCUUCUUUAUGGAGAGUGGAGUAUUUGGGUUGCAAAAGGGGAGGGGAAGGAGGAAGGGGCAGAGUGUCACUCUCCAGGCUGGUGGUCAGGAGUGGACAUAGGUGCUCUGUGUGUGUGUGUAUGUGUGUGUGUGUGUGUGUGAAGGUUUGCAGCAGGGGGCUAGGAGACCAUGAUAAAGACUUGCAGUCAUGGAGUUCCUGUCAUGGUUGGUGAAUCCAACUAGGAACCAUGAGGUUGUGGGUUCGAUCCUUGGCCUUGCUCAGUGGGUUGAGGAUCUGGCGUUGCCGUGAGCUGUGGUGCAGGUCGCAUAUGCGGCUUGGAUCCCACGUUGCUGUGGCUGUGGUGUAGGCUGGUGCCUACAGCUCCGAUUGGAUCCCUAGCCUGGGAACCUCCAUAUGCCACGGGAGCGGCCCUAGAAAUGGCAAAAAGACAAAAAAAAAAAAAAAAAAAAAAAAAAAAAAAAAGAAUUGAAAGAUAUGGUAAACCCCCUCAAAUUUCUGGCUCCAGAACUCAUAUACUCUCCACAUGAGUUGCUGCACAUCUGCCCUGCUCGCUGGCAGCUCAAGGGUUCUGGCCCUUUUCCUCUCAGCACCGCAAGCAGCUUCUUUCAGCACAGUGGGCAGGCCCUUAAUAGUAUAGAAACUUAAUUAGAUGAAGAUGGUGUUGAGUCUCCUCUCUGGAAGCAAAAUGAUUUUGGUUAUAUGACACCCCACGUUGGUGGCAAUUUUGCUUAUAUGGUUGUGCUUAAUGUCUUAAAAAUACCCUUCAGGUCAGAAAAUAAAGUCAUAGUGGGGAGACAGGGUGCAUGGAGCUGGGAACAGUGCUGAGCGAACUCACACCUUUGUCUUUUUUUCUGCUCAGCGGUUCCUUGUUAGAUACUUACAGCUGAGAGAAAUCUGUUCUAUUUUUGACUGCUGUAAUAUUUGAAUUUUGGCAAACUGUUUUCAGGUGAAAAUGUGAGUGUUUAUAUUAUUUGUUUACGUAAAAAGGUAAUGAGGGGAACAUGUGCAAAAAAUCAUGAAAUCCAAGUUAGGUCAAGUUGUUAACUGCUGUCAAUCAGUUUCCUGCUUCUGAUAAGGCACUGUUGUUUUGUAAGAUGUCACUGAGGGAGGCUGGAUGAGGGCUACACCAGUCUCACGAUUUUUGCAAUUUCUUGUGAGUCUGUAAUUAUUUCAAAAUAAUAAGUUUUUUUUUUUUUCUUUAAUUUAAAGGUAGGCAAUUCUCAUUGUGGUUCAGCUAGUUAAGAACCCGACUAGUAUCCAUAAGGGUGCUGGUUCAAUCCCUGGCUUCACUCAGUGGCCACAAGCUUCGGUGUAGGUCACAGACGUGGCUCGGAUCUGGCAUUGCUGUGGCUGUGGCGUAGGCUGGCAGCUGCAGCUCUGAUUCACCCCCUAGCCCAGGACCUUCCAUAUGCCACAGGUGUGACCCUAAAAAGAAAAAAAUAAUAAUUUUUUAAAAAGGUAAAGAGAGAGUUCCUUGGUGGCACAGCAGGUUAAGGAUCUGGUGUUGUCACUGCUGUGGUGCAGCUUUGAUCCCUGGUCCAGGAGCUUCUCUAUGCUCUGAGUUCAGCCAAAAAAAUUUUUUCUUAAUUAAAAAAGUGAAAAUAAAAAUAGGUAAACAGGAUGUAUCAGUAAAAUUCAUAUUAAGGAAAUCAGAUAUUUUCUUUAGAUUUAAAACAGCUUGCCACAAUUAAGCCAUAGCACAAAUAACAUCAUUCAUUCAUUGACCGGAUAUCUAUGGAGUUCUUUAUGCCAGGCAUUAUCCUAGGUGUGCACUAAUGGAGAUGCGCCCUUCUGCAAGGGGUUAGCUGGAAAGAGUCUCGCCUUUGUUUCUGUGCUGUAGAGCUGGGAUUCUUAACCCAAAGUCCAUGGAUUUCAGGAGUAACAUUUGUGUAUAUAAGUGCUUUCUGUAGAAAAUAUCUCUAGUGUUUAUGAGAUUUUCAGAGGUUACAAACUGCUAUUUUGGAUGAUUACUUAUCUUGCUUGGAUUUCAAGAAGAAAUUUCAACAUAAGAGAAAAUCCUGGAGUUCCCAAUGUGGCUCAGCGGUUAACAAACCCGGCUGGUAUCCGUGAUGACAUGGGUUCAAUCCCUGGCCUUGGUUGGUGGGUUAAGGAUCUGGUGUUGCCGUGAGCUGUGGGGUAGGUCAUGCAGACACAGCUCAGAUCCUGUGUUGCUGUAGCUCUGGUGUAGUCCGACAGCUACAGCUCCGAUUCAACCCAUAGCUUGGGAACCUCCAUAUGCCGCCACUGUGGCC
RNAcentral lists this long non-coding RNA (3215 nucleotides) under Sus scrofa (pig). RNAcentral's name for it is "lncRNA (ENSSSCG00000061558.1, ENSSSCG00105035364.1)". The record is from RNAcentral. Lineage: Eukaryota; Metazoa; Chordata; Mammalia; Artiodactyla; Suidae.